CUUGGAAAAAUGGGAAAAACCUUUGGAAAAUUGGGAUUAACCCUCAAAAAUGGGAAUAACCCUUGGGAAAUUGGGAAUGAGCCUGGGAAAUUGGGAAUAACCCUGGGAAAAUGGGAAUUACUCUCAAAAAUGGGGAAAAUCCUUGGAAAAUGGGAAUAACCCUCAGAAAAUAGGAAAAACCCUUGGAAAAUUUGGGAAUAACCCUGGAAAAUUGGGAAUAAUUCCUGAAAAAUGGGGAAAACCCUUGGAAAAUUGGGAAUAACCCCUCAAAAAUGGGAAUAACCCUUGGAAAAUCGGGAAUAACCCUGGGAAAUUGAGAAUAACCCUGGGAAAAUUGGGAAUAAUCCUUGGAAAACCAGGAAGAACCCUGGAAAAAUGGGAAGAAUCUUGGAAAAUUGGGAAUAACCCUGGAAAAAUGGGAAAGAAGCCUUGGAAAAUGGGAAUAACCCUUGGAAAACUGGGAAUAAUGGUGAAAAACCCUUUAAAAAUCGGGA
RNAcentral lists this long non-coding RNA (494 nucleotides) under Chloebia gouldiae (Gouldian finch). Its description in RNAcentral is "Erythrura gouldiae (Gouldian finch) lncRNA (ENSEGOG00005011750.1)". The record is from RNAcentral. Lineage: Eukaryota; Metazoa; Chordata; Aves; Passeriformes; Passeridae.